This is a regulatory RNA element of 95 nucleotides. It matches the Rfam family "Tombusvirus 3' UTR region IV". The record is from Rfam.
GCACUAGGCACGGUUCACCCCCAUCCUUCGGGAGGGCUAUAGGGGGUGACCGGGUUACACCACCGGAAGACCGGAACAUUGCCUUUGGGCAGCCC